RNAcentral lists this ribosomal RNA (1297 nucleotides) under Staphylococcus epidermidis. RNAcentral's name for it is "bacterial SSU rRNA". It matches the Rfam family "Bacterial small subunit ribosomal RNA", at positions 57 to 1336 of the family's 1533-position model. The record is from RNAcentral. Lineage: Bacteria; Bacillati; Bacillota; Bacilli; Caryophanales; Staphylococcaceae.
GCAGUCGAGCGAACAGACGAGGAGCUUGCUCCUCUGACGUUAGCGGCGGACGGGUGAGUAACACGUGGAUAACCUACCUAUAAGACUGGGAUAACUUCGGGAAACCGGAGCUAAUACCGGAUAAUAUAUUGAACCGCAUGGUUCAAUAGUGAAAGACGGUUUUGCUGUCACUUAUAGAUGGAUCCGCGCCGCAUUAGCUAGUUGGUAAGGUAACGGCUUACCAAGGCAACGAUGCGUAGCCGACCUGAGAGGGUGAUCGGCCACACUGGAACUGAGACACGGUCCAGACUCCUACGGGAGGCAGCAGUAGGGAAUCUUCCGCAAUGGGCGAAAGCCUGACGGAGCAACGCCGCGUGAGUGAUGAAGGUCUUCGGAUCGUAAAACUCUGUUAUUAGGGAAGAACAAAUGUGUAAGUAACUAUGCACGUCUUGACGGUACCUAAUCAGAAAGCCACGGCUAACUACGUGCCAGCAGCCGCGGUAAUACGUAGGUGGCAAGCGUUAUCCGGAAUUAUUGGGCGUAAAGCGCGCGUAGGCGGUUUUUUAAGUCUGAUGUGAAAGCCCACGGCUCAACCGUGGAGGGUCAUUGGAAACUGGAAAACUUGAGUGCAGAAGAGGAAAGUGGAAUUCCAUGUGUAGCGGUGAAAUGCGCAGAGAUAUGGAGGAACACCAGUGGCGAAGGCGACUUUCUGGUCUGUAACUGACGCUGAUGUGCGAAAGCGUGGGGAUCAAACAGGAUUAGAUACCCUGGUAGUCCACGCCGUAAACGAUGAGUGCUAAGUGUUAGGGGGUUUCCGCCCCUUAGUGCUGCAGCUAACGCAUUAAGCACUCCGCCUGGGGAGUACGACCGCAAGGUUGAAACUCAAAGGAAUUGACGGGGACCCGCACAAGCGGUGGAGCAUGUGGUUUAAUUCGAAGCAACGCGAAGAACCUUACCAAAUCUUGACAUCCUCUGACCCCUCUAGAGAUAGAGUUUUCCCCUUCGGGGGACAGAGUGACAGGUGGUGCAUGGUUGUCGUCAGCUCGUGUCGUGAGAUGUUGGGUUAAGUCCCGCAACGAGCGCAACCCUUAAGCUUAGUUGCCAUCAUUAAGUUGGGCACUCUAAGUUGACUGCCGGUGACAAACCGGAGGAAGGUGGGGAUGACGUCAAAUCAUCAUGCCCCUUAUGAUUUGGGCUACACACGUGCUACAAUGGACAAUACAAAGGGCAGCGAAACCGCGAGGUCAAGCAAAUCCCAUAAAGUUGUUCUCAGUUCGGAUUGUAGUCUGCAACUCGACUAUAUGAAGCUGGAAUCGCU